RNAcentral lists this ribosomal RNA (489 nucleotides) under uncultured bacterium. RNAcentral describes it as "partial 16S ribosomal RNA". It matches the Rfam family "Bacterial small subunit ribosomal RNA", at positions 28 to 506 of the family's 1533-position model. The record is from RNAcentral.
GAUGAACGCCCGCUACAGGCUUAACACAUGCAAGUCGCAGGGUAACAUGAGGAAAGCUUGCUUUCCUUGAUGACGACUGGCGCACGGGUGAGUAACGCGUAUCCAACCUUCCCAUAACUACGGGAUAACCCGUUGAAAGACGGCCUAAUACCGUAUGAUAUCGUUUGCUGACAUCAAAUAACGAUUAAAGGUUUAGCGGUUAUGGAUGGGGAUGCGUCUGAUUAGCUUGUUGGCGGGGUAACGGCCCACCAAGGCGACGAUCAGUAGGGGUUCUGAGAGGAAGGUCCCCCACAUUGGAACUGAGACACGGUCCAAACUCCUACGGGAGGCAGCAGUGAGGAAUAUUGGUCAAUGGGCGAGAGCCUGAACCAGCCAAGUAGCGUGCAGGACGACGGCCCUAUGGGUUGUAAACUGCUUUUAUGUGGGGAUAAAGUGCGUGACGUGUCAUGCAUUGCAGGUACCACAUGAAUAAGGACCGGCUAAUUCCGU